RNAcentral lists this unclassified non-coding RNA (4059 nucleotides) under Portunus trituberculatus (swimming crab). Its description in RNAcentral is "voltage-gated hydrogen channel 1-like, transcript variant X3". Lineage: Eukaryota; Metazoa; Arthropoda; Malacostraca; Decapoda; Portunidae. The record is from RNAcentral.
AGGAACGGCAGGUGCAUGCGAGAGGCGGGGCUCGGGGGCGGUAACUGAGCAGUGCAGACCGAGACCCAGGCCCAAGUGGAGGGAGGGCUCGAGAGGCUGCAACUAAAUAUAGAGCACACCUCGUCUUCAGCUCAAGACCGGCCAUGGAAAAUAUGAAAAAUGAAGUAGAAGAAGGAUGCCUAGUGGCUGGAAAUUCACCUGAAGUUCAUGAAACACUCAGUCUAAAGUCUGCAUCUUCUGAUGAUGAAUCUUUAAGAUCAAGGACUUCAAUUAAACAACACCUUCAGCAGUAUUUGCGUUCCACUCCUUGUCAGGUCUUACUGGUUGGCUUAGUGAUUGUAGACACACUGUUGGUCAUCACAGAAUUGAUGUUGGAUCUAGCAUUAAAGGAUCCAGAGUCACCUCUACCAUUUGUCUUCCAUGCACUGUCCUUGAGUGUGAUGAGUAUAUUCAUGGUGGAAAUUGGACUCAAGAUUUAUGCAUAUCAGUUGGAAUUUUUCACUCAUAAGGGAGAUGUGUUUGAUGCAGUUGUUGUGAUUGUGUGUUUUUGUCUGGAUGCUGUCUAUCUUCACUCCCAUGAUGCUCAUGCUGGUGCUGGCUUUAUGAUUGUGCUGCGACUGUGGAGGGUUGUCCACAUUCAGCGUGCUAUUGUAUCACAAAUAAAAUCAUCAGGAGACAAAAAGUUAGUGCAAGAAAAAGAGAAGAGGUACAGAGUUGAACAGGAGAUUGAGAGAUGGCGUACCACUGGCUGUGCUCAGGAGGCAUAUAUAAAAUAUCUUCAAGAGAUACUGAAGAAAAACAGUAUUUCAUAUACAGAAUACAGAAGCCCUCCUGACAGUACAAGCAGGCAAGUAGCGGUUGAGGUGACUUCCGAGUAAGACAAAGGCUUCAAAUGGUCAACUGAUACUAUCACCAAAUUCAAAGAGUACAAAACAUUGGUCUGCUGUACCUUCCGUGAAGAACUCAUCAGAUCAAAGAAAAAUAACAAGUCAAAGCUCUGGAUUCCUGCCAGCCAGAAGGAUUCCAGCUGCUCUUCUAACAACAUUGUCACAGCUUCUUUGACCUCAUCAUCAUGGAACCUCUGCCUCAUACAAUGAGGAAUUGAGCUGGCAGAUAAGGUUAGUAGUCACUGGGUGCCAGGUCUAGACUGUAGGGUGGAUGAUUGAGCUUGCUGAAGCCAUUCCCUCAGAGCAGCGUAGGCAUGGUGGGCUAUUUGGACCGGAACAUUGUUGUGGAGGACGACACCACGAGUCAAUUUGCCCCACCUCUUCUGACGGAGAGAGUCCCUCAAGAGACUGAGUAUGUACUCCGGUGUCGUACUUCCUUGUGAGCAUAAAUCUGUGCUGCAGAAAAUCCAUCAGCAGCACUCCCUCAACAUCCCAGAUGAUGGUGGCCAUGAUCUUGCCUACCAAUGGUUGGGUUAAAAAUUUGAGCAGUGUUGGGGAUCUCUUUGUUUCCAGACCAUGCUUUUGAACAUUAUCUCUAGGAUCCCAGUGGUGAAGAUCACGACCUUCAACCCAGAUUAUGAUGGGUCUGAUUAUAUAGAGUUAGCAGUUCCUCUGAACUUGUGCAGCACUGAAAGCGAUCAUGUAGAGAAAGAUUUUAGGGCACUCAAUAAGCAGAAAUUUUGUUCAUGCUCAGAUAAUGAUGAAUAAUGGUACAAACAUCUUGAAAAAUUUCAAUCUCCGACAAAAUUUCUUCCAUCUUUACUGAUAAAAUCUCCAUAAUUAUUGCCUCCUCACGAUCAAGUGUCUUCAGAGGUCGCCUCGGAGGGAUGUCCUACAUGAGGGUAAUUUUCAAGGGACUCAUGGCCAUAAUGAGCUGGUGACUGUGACAUGGAGAAGUGCAGUGUUGCUGUACACUGAUAAAAUUUUCAUGGAUGUCCUUCACAUUCUUCCCAUCUUUUGUCAAGAAAAUGAUUACUACACAAUACUUGAUCUUGCCUAUUGUUGGCAACUCUUGCCAACUGCAUCCAUUGUUUGCUCUCCUAAGACAGAGAAGGAAGUGAGGGAGUGUAGUAGCACUGUUUGUGAACAUGUCAGAACCUGUCCUAACCAGGCACAAGACAUAACUGGUUGCACUGACUAACAUACUGAAUUGCAGAACUUUCUCACUGCCUCUCUUAUACACUAAUCACAUUGUUACUACUAAUACUGUAUUAUUGUUGAUAAAAUUCUCUCUCUCUCUCUCUCUCUCUCUCUCUCUCUCAUUCCUUACCUCUGACAGAUAAAGGGGAGAGUAAAUGAUAAGGAGGAAGGCUUGAGAAGAGGAGAGGAAGAGAUAUGAAAAAGAAAAUAAAUUAAUGCAAGAAACAAUGAUAAUGUGUAGGUAGUAAUAGCAUGAUACUUUUGUUACAGCCAUACAAUUCAGAGGAAGCUCUCAUAAAAAGAGAGAGAUGAAUUAAUAUUAUAAAACAUUCAAUGACAAGGAUAUAUAUCUAAUCUUCUUGGGUAAGAUUUAUUGUCCAAUUAACAACUUCUCUGUAAGGCAGUGCACAAUAUACAUAACAUAAUAAAUUCUUCAGAAAUUAAAUGGUCUAAAUUUCAACUCUGAUAUGCAUGAGUACAAGCAGCAUUUCAGCAGCCUCUAGUGAUGGGGGGUAAGAUUCACGACAAUCCCAUUAUCUGGGACACUUAAAUUAUGAUAAUAAUAAUAAUAAUAAUAAUAAAAAAAACUAACCUCUAUCACACAAUGAAUAUAAAAGUAAUAUACUACUUUUAUACCACAGAGCUUAAAAAAUAAACACGGAAAGUAAAAUUUGAAAAAUAAUGAUAAUGAAUGAAAUCAACAUUUAUCAUGUACUCUGUUUUAUCUAGGAUACAAAGCCAUCUGUAAAGCAUUCUGUAUAAAACUUAGGAAACAACAUUGUUUUCAAGCAUAAUGAAGCUUCAUUCUUGAAGGCCUGCACUGAAAAGACCAAUCAUGAAGCAGGCAAAACUGCUAUGUAAAAUGAUGAGAAAACAAGUAAAGAUAAUAUGCAAAUAAACUGCAAGAAGACAAAACUCUUAAGUUAAUGUAUCAUAGAUCUCUGAGGCAAGUGUUCCAUAAUACACAGUGAUUAGCUGUACAUGGAAAAAAAUAAAUAAAUAAAAUAAAAUAAAAAAAAUAAAAAUAUCACAUUUGAUAAAUCAUGUUAUCAACUUUGGUGUGUGUGUGUGUAUGUGUGUGUGUGUGUGUGUGUGUGUGUGUGUGUGUGUGUGUGUGUGUGUGUGUGUGUGUGUGUGUGUGUGUGCAUACAAGUGUAAAUAUAUAAUGAUAUCAUCUGAAACUAACAUGUAUUUCACUUUAUAUAAUCAGACACAUAACACAAAAAUAUAAAUAAAUAAAUGCUAUAUCUAUUAUACACACCAUGGGCAUUACCUGACAAAGAGAAGCAUUAUCAACAGUGGGUACUGAUACUGAACCACCUAUCACCAUCACAUAACACAGGGAGGAACUGUAGCUGCUGUGGUUAUCGGGUUAACAAUGUGUCAUGCAUCAUGUACAUAGGAAGAAACAAUUUACAAGAAAGAUACACAAGUCAUUUCCUUGCAUAUUUACAAUUACAAUAAAUAAAUUUACUCGGACAUGAAUAUUAUUUUUAAGGAGGCAAUUUCAAGAGGACUCUCAGUAUAGUUUAUCUUUCUGUUUAAGUACUGUAAAUAUAUGAUACACAAAUAUAGUUUACUUUGUAUACUAAUUCUCAUAAUUAUGUUUGAUAAAUUGGUAUUUGCUGUGCAGUGUGUGUGUGUGUGUGUGUGUGUGUGUGUGUGUGUGUGUGUGUGUGUGUGUGUGUGUGUGUGUGUGUGUGUGUGUGUGUGUGUGUGUGUGUGUGUGUUAAUCAACCACAUUAUAUUUGUCUGUAUUGUCUACUGAACAGAAAACAUACUUUUUUUUGUCAAUUUCUCCAACCUUAGCACUUAAAAUGUGUGUGUGUGUGUGUGUGUGUGUGUGUGUGUGUGUGUGUGUGUGUGUGUGUGUGUGUGUGUGUGUGUGUGUGUGUGUGUGUGUGCGAGACAACCUUGAUAAUAUAACAAUAUUGCCUGUAAAGCACUAAAAUAUAGUUUUGAUCAAUAAGAA